This 497-nucleotide ribosomal RNA is filed under the name uncultured bacterium. Its description in RNAcentral is "partial 16S ribosomal RNA". It matches the Rfam family "Bacterial small subunit ribosomal RNA", at positions 28 to 507 of the family's 1533-position model. The record is from RNAcentral.
GAUGAACGCUGGCGGCGUGCCUAAUACAUGCAAGUCGAGCGAACGGACGAGAAGCUUGCUUUUCUGAUGUUAGCGGCGGACGGGUGAGUAACACGUGGAUAACCUACCUAUAAGACUGGGAUAACUUCGGGAAACCGGAGCUAAUACCGGAUAAUAUUUUGAACCGCAUGGUUCAAAAGUGAAAGACGGUCUUGCUGUCACUUAUAGAUGGAUCCGCGCUGCAUUAGCUAGUUGGUAAGGUAACGGCUUACCAAGGCAACGAUGCAUAGCCGACCUGAGAGGGUGAUCGGCCACACUGGAACUGAGACACGGUCCAGACUCCUACGGGAGGCAGCAGUAGGGAAUCUUCCGCAAUGGGCGAAAGCCUGACGGAGCAACGCCGCGUGAGUGAUGAAGGUCUUCGGAUCGUAAAACUCUGUUAUUAGGGAAGAACAUAUGUGUAAGUAACUGUGCACAUCUUGACGGUACCUAAUUAGAAAGCCACGGCUAACUACGUG